GACGAACGCUGGCGGCGUGCUUAACACAUGCAAGUCGAACGGAAAGGCCCUGCUUCUGUGGGGUGCUCGAGUGGCGAACGGGUGAGUAACACGUGAGUAACCUGCCCUUGACUUUGGGAUAACUUCAGGAAACUGGGGCUAAUACCGGAUAGGAGCUCCUGCUGCAUGGUGGGGGUUGGAAAGUUUCGGCGGUUGGGGAUCGACUCGCGGCUUAUCAGCUUGUUGGUGGGGUAGUGGCUUACCAAGGCUUCGACGGGUAGCCGGCCUGAGAGGGUGACCGGCGACAAUGGGACUGAGGUACGGCCCAGACUCCUACGGGAGGCAGCGGUGGGAAAUAUGGCACAAUGGGCGGAAGCCUGAGGCAGCAGCGCCGCGUUCGGGAUGACGGCCUUCGGGUUGUAAACCGCUUUCGCCUGUGACGAAGCGUGAGUGACGGUAAUGGGUAAAGAAGCACCGGCUAACUACGUG
Molecule: ribosomal RNA, 468 nt
Filed under: uncultured bacterium
Lineage: Bacteria
Description: partial 16S ribosomal RNA
Rfam family: Bacterial small subunit ribosomal RNA
Source: RNAcentral